CGCAAUGGUUAAUGAAAGACAUUCAUUUUCUGUUUAAAGUGUAAAAAUAUAGAGAUACAGCGCUUCGUAGGAGAUUCACUCAGCACAACUUGAAUCCGGCACCAUGAAUAAUUGAUUUGGAAGAGUUAAUCUUCAAACAUUUUCAUCUUUCUAGCGUACUUUUACUUGUAUGUGAUGUCUAUGAGUUUAUGAGUAUGCUCAGGGCUGGGAGGGUUACUUUAAAAAUGUAUUCAGACACAAUUACUAAUUACCUCUU
Sander lucioperca (pikeperch) is the source of this 256-nucleotide long non-coding RNA. RefSeq lists it as uncharacterized. The transcript is spliced from 2 exons. Lineage: Eukaryota; Metazoa; Chordata; Actinopteri; Perciformes; Percidae. The record is from RefSeq and is a predicted model, not a curated record.